Apis florea (little honeybee) is the source of this 69-nucleotide small nucleolar RNA. RefSeq annotates it as small nucleolar RNA U18. Lineage: Eukaryota; Metazoa; Arthropoda; Insecta; Hymenoptera; Apidae. The record is from RefSeq and is a predicted model, not a curated record.
UAUAUGAUGAAAUUUUUUGGUCCGUGUUGUUGAUUGACAGUGAUUAUAACUUAACCAUAUCUGACGUUU